Molecule: RNase P RNA, 325 nt
Filed under: Planctomycetota bacterium
Lineage: Bacteria; Pseudomonadati; Planctomycetota
Description: partial RNase P RNA component class A
Rfam family: Bacterial RNase P class A
About the family: Ribonuclease P (RNase P) is a ubiquitous endoribonuclease, found in archaea, bacteria and eukarya as well as chloroplasts and mitochondria.
Source: RNAcentral
GGGCACGGUGGUCGCUAACGGCGACCGGACGCGAGUCCAGGGAAAGUGCCACAGAGAACAGACCGCCGAUGGCCGUCCUCGCCUGGCGAGGGCGGAUCAGGCAAGGGUGAAACGGUGCGGUAAGAGCGCACCGCUCGCGUGGCGACACGCGGGGCACGGCAAACCCCACCGGGAGCAAGGCCAAAUAGGGGACUCUUGGCGCCGCCCACGCAAGAUGAGUCCCGGGUUGGCCGCUCGAGUCGCCCGGCAACGGGCGUACUUAGAUAAAUGGCCGCAGUCCCGAUUCGUCGGGAUCACAAGAUUCGGCUUACGGCCCGCUCGCCGG